RNAcentral lists this ribosomal RNA (551 nucleotides) under uncultured bacterium. RNAcentral's name for it is "bacterial SSU rRNA". It matches the Rfam family "Bacterial small subunit ribosomal RNA", at positions 861 to 1410 of the family's 1533-position model. The record is from RNAcentral.
UAAGUUCCCCGCCUGGGGGAGUGCGGUCGCAAGGCUAAAACUCAAAGGAAUUGACGGGGGCCGCACAAGCGUGGAGCAUGUGGUUCAAUUCGAUGCAACGCGAAAAACCUUACCUGGGUUUGACAUCCUUUGACAGUCCCUGAAAGGGGAUCUUCCCGAUUUAUCGGGACAAAGUGACAGGUGCUGCAUGGCUGUCGUCAGCUCGUGUCGUGAGAUGUUGGGUUAAGUCCCGCAACGAGCGCAACCCUUGUCUUUAGUUGCCAAUAUUAAGUUAGGCACUCUAAUGAUACUGCCCCGGUUAACGGGGAGGAAGGUGGGGAUGACGUCAAGUCCUCAUGGCCUUUAUACCCAGGGCUACACACGUGCUACAAUGGGCUAUACAAAGGGCUGCCACUCUGCAAAGAGGAGCUAAUCCCAAAAAGUAGUCCUAAGUUCGGAUUGGAGUCUGCAACUCGACUCCAUGAAGCUGGAAUCGCUAGUAACCGUGGAUCAGCAUGCCACGGUGAAUACGUUCCCGGGCCUUGUACACACCGCCCGUCACACCACGAAAG